RNA transcript from Perca fluviatilis (European perch), 2257 nucleotides. It is a transcript of the gene named fibronectin type III domain containing 4a, with no coding region annotated. The transcript is spliced from 7 exons. The record is from RefSeq and is a predicted model, not a curated record. NCBI's taxonomy places the organism in Eukaryota, Metazoa, Chordata, Actinopteri, Perciformes, Percidae.
GGUAUACUGCGCGUGCACUUGAGCUGAAACGCUAAGUGCUAGAAACCUUAGGGUCUCAUAUAUAGACUACUUAGGGGGGGCUAUACCAAAAAGGAAUGCAGGAAAGACCAACCCCGCGUGCGUGAAUAAACAGGAGUUGCGGAGCGCGAGGGCAGUCUGAAAACUUAGGCGCUGUCCACGGUGCUGAAUCGCCACUCGGCGAGAGGACCGACGAGCCUGUGAGCGUCAUCUUUUCUUCACGACCCGUUUCAUACCUGAGCACUCCAUGAAGACGGGGAUGAUGGACGUCUACAGUUUCAGACACCAUAUUUGAGUCGGACGCCAGGAUGAAGGACUUGUGGAUUUAAACCCCUGAAUGAAGAAUCCGCCUCGGCUCGACAAAAUGUUUCUGAAGACAUCAUUUGUCACGUACUUUAACUGGCUAUCUAUUUACCGACCAACUCGAGUCCGAUUCAGCCAGUAAUCGUUCAUUCAUUCAUUCAUCAACAUGAUAUAAGAAUGAACUGAUGCAAUUGAGUUGCCCAUCAGGCAUAGGAGAUCUGUGUUUUAAUCUACUGUAAGAAGAGCAACCAUACGCAACGAGACAUGGCUCGCCUGCUUGUUUUGGUCAACUCCGUGGUCCUGUUGCUUUUUGGCAGUGACAUGUUUUUGGUAGGAGCAAACCGGCCCCCAGCUCCCGUCAAUGUGUCCGUCAUGCACCUGCGGGCCGACUCUGCAACUGUAUCCUGGGAGGUUCCAGAGGGAGAUAUAAUAAUUGGCUUCUCGAUCUCGCAACAGAGACAGGAAGGACAUAUGCAGCGAUUCAUUCGGGAAGUCAACACCACCAGCCGCUCUUGUGUCCUUUGGGACCUAGAGGAGGAGACAGACUACAUCAUUCAGGUCCAGUCAAUUGGCCUCUAUGGGGAAAGCCAAGCCAGCAAGAAGGUCCAUUUCCGCACCCUCAAGAAGACAGACCGCUUUCCCUCCAACAGCUCCAAUCAAGAUGACCCCACUGUGCAGGGCCUGGACAAGUCCCGGCAUCUACAAACAGGAGAGAUGAUCAUAAUUGUGGUGGUCUUGCUCAUGUGGGCAGCUGUUAUUGCCCUGUUCUGCCGGCAGUAUGACAUCAUCAAGGACAAUGACUCCAGCAACAGUAAGGAGAAGGCCAAGCCGUCGUCAGAGAGGAGCACGCCGGAGCACCACAGUGGUGGGCUGCUGAGGAGCAAGUUCCAUCCUUCUGUGCCGUCUAUCAACAUCAUCGAAGUUUGAGAAGAAGGAAUUCCUCUCUCUCUAAUACGAUCAAUGCAUUUCCACCUUUCUCACUGAUGAGUUAAAAAAACUGAAAACAGUGAAGUUUCUGAGGGUCAUCAUCAGUGAAUAAGUUCCAUCCUUCUGUGCCGUCUAUCAACAUCAUCGAAGUUUGAGAAGAAGGAAUUCCUCUCUCUCUAAUACGAUCAAUGCAUUUCCACCUUUCUCACUGAUGAGUUAAAAAAACUGAAAACAGUGAAGUUUCUGAGGGUCAUCAUCAGUGAAUAAGGUUGGCUGAGGCUGUCUUUGCUAAAGACAUGCAUGCACACAGUAUUUAUAGAAAAACACUAUAAACUACAAGUGCACACCAAUUCACAUGACCCUACACACCCCAAUACACACACACACACACACACACACACACACACACACACACACACACACACACACACAAUACAGUAGCUAACAGAACCUACUCCUGCAGGUUGAUAGUACAUAAACUAAUGAUAACCCAUGGUGCAGUUAACAUUGAAGACUUUGCCAGGUGCUUAGUACGUUAUUGCAAUACAAAACACACAAUCAUCUCUGGGAGGCGGGGCUUCAUGACUUUAAAUACGCAGUGUAUUUUUGAUAUUGGCAUGUGCAAUUAGACACCACAUUCCCCUGUUAUAGAUAACUCAGCUCCAAAUAAAUCAACAUUUUCCCAUUGCAAAUAGUGUUAAUAAAUGAUAUUGUCUCAUCACAAAUGUAUUGUGAUGCAGAUUGUUAAUAAGGAAAGAAAGAAAAUACAUGUAUUCAUUUGUAAGAACCACCAUGACGAUGUCAUAACGUUUUCUAGUAAUAUUAAAAUACCAUUUGCUGGUCAACAUUGUAUUUUUUCAUGUCAUAAAUAACGAACAUUAUGUCUGUACAUAGUGCAUUCAUUUACUAAAGUUGCAUGCAGGUCAUUUGCCUGUAGAAUAGCAUUUGAUGUGCAUUCAAAGUUAGAUGCCAAAAAUCAAGUAAUAAAUAAUGAUUGCAGUCCUGUGAA